Molecule: ribosomal RNA, 107 nt
Filed under: Neurospora crassa
Lineage: Eukaryota; Fungi; Ascomycota; Sordariomycetes; Sordariales; Sordariaceae
Source: RNAcentral
GACGAAAUCCUUUGGAGACGACUNAGAUGUGCGAAAGGGUCCUGUAAGCAGUAGAGUAGCCUUGUUGUUACGAUCUGCUAUAAGCCCUCCUUCGGCAUUAGAUUUCA